CCUACGGGGUGCUGCAGUGGGGAAUAUUGGACAAUGGGCGAAAGCCUGAUCCAGCCAUGCCGCGUGUGUGAAGAAGGCCUUCGGGUUGUAAAGCACUUUCAGUGGGGAAGAAAGCCUUGGGGCUAAUACCCUCGAGGAAGGACAUCACCCACAGAAGAAGCACCGGCUAACUCCGUGCCAGCAGCCGCGGUAAUACGGAGGGUGCGAGCGUUAAUCGGAAUUACUGGGCGUAAAGCGCGCGUAGGCGGUCUGAUAAGCCGGUUGUGAAAGCCCCGGGCUCAACCUGGGAACGGCAUCCGGAACUGUCAGGCUAGAGUGCAGGAGAGGAAGGUAGAAUUCCCGGUGUAGCGGUGAAAUGCGUAGAGAUCGGGAGGAAUACCAGUGGCGAAGGCGGUCUUCUGGACUGACACUGACGCUGAGGUGCGAAAGCGUGGGUAGCAAACAGGAUUAGAUACCCGAGUAGUC
Molecule: ribosomal RNA, 465 nt
Filed under: Vreelandella stevensii
Lineage: Bacteria; Pseudomonadati; Pseudomonadota; Gammaproteobacteria; Oceanospirillales; Halomonadaceae
Description: partial 16S ribosomal RNA
Rfam family: Bacterial small subunit ribosomal RNA
Source: RNAcentral